AUUGGUAGAGGUGCAUUUUUAAUGAGUAGAUAUCUGGAUGCGUUCAGGCGCAGAAGAAAGGUAUUGAAAGGGAAAGAUGCCGAAGGUAGAUGGUUCCUGAGACUAUCGUUCCUGGGCACAUAGUUAAUAGCUAUGUGACUGUCAUCAACAAGAUGGAGUGCUACCUAA
Molecule: non-coding RNA, 168 nt
Filed under: pig gut metagenome
Description: Lysine riboswitch
Rfam family: Lysine riboswitch aptamer
About the family: Riboswitches are metabolite binding domains within certain messenger RNAs that serve as precision sensors for their corresponding targets. Allosteric rearrangement of mRNA structure is mediated by ligand binding, and this results in modulation of gene expression. This family includes riboswitches that sense lysine in a number of genes involved in lysine metabolism, including lysC.
Source: RNAcentral